Molecule: long non-coding RNA, 2803 nt
Organism: Apis cerana (Asiatic honeybee)
Lineage: Eukaryota; Metazoa; Arthropoda; Insecta; Hymenoptera; Apidae
Source: RefSeq, a predicted model, not a curated record
CUUUGUUACUAUUUUAAAAUUUUAAUUGGUAUGAUGAGAAAACUAAAGAAAUAAACUUUAAACUUAUAGAAAUAUAUAAGAAAAAAAAUCUAAAAAAGAAAUAUAUAAAUAAAUAUAUAAUAUUUUAAAAAUAAUAUAAAGAAAAUAUAGAACAUUAAAUUAAAUUUAAAAUCUUUACUUUUAUAAUAUAUUGUUUAUAUAAUAUAAAUUUUCAUAUUAUUAUUUUAUAUUUUAUAUUUACAUUUCAUUGCAAGUAUAUUUUCUAAGUAAUUGUGAAAGUAAUUGCUAAUAUAGAUUGUAGGUUGAAAAGAAAACCAAAAAUAGAACCUACUGUAACAGAACUAAGAAAUGUGUUAUAUAAUGAAUGUUUGAAACUCAUGUUCAGUUUAAUUAUUUUAUGUGUUAAAAUUAUUUACAAUUAAUCUUUUUUAAUAUUAUAAAAUUACAAAUAUAAUAUAAUAUAAUAUUUAGAUUUGAAUGAGGAAAAAGAUAAAAUUCAAAGAAGUGUCUUUAAAUAUCACAUUUUAUUAUUCAAAGAUUGUGCGACUUGCAAUGUCAUGAUAUUAAAUAUCAUGAUGAUGUUAGAAUAUGACGGAAAUUAAAUUCCGUGAAAUAAUAGUUGAGGUUAUGUAAAGUAUCUUAGAAAAAAUAUAUAAGAAAUAAAGUUAUUACCUUAACACUGUCAAGUGGAUACAUAACACAAUGUUCCAUAAUUCCGGCAAAUGCACCUGCUGUCAUGUGUACAGCCACAGAUGAUGUAGGUAAAGUCUCAUAAAUUUCAGUAUUCAUAUUUCCUGAAGAUGCUUUAACGUAAUUUUCAAUUCGCAGCUUCAAAAUGCCGCAAUUUUUAUAUACACUCUUUUGAAGUAGACAACACGCAUUCGGCAAUAAUUGAUGCCGAUUUAUCGUUUAUGUAGCAACAUUUGCUUUGUAAUCGCCGAAACAUUCAUUCAAAAGGAUAUGAGGAUAAUGUUCGUUCUUUCGAAAUAAUGAGACGUAAUCGUAUUCGUUGAUCUUAAUGGAACGUAUUGGAGUUGAAAAGCCUGCUACUCACGAUAAUAGUAAAUUUACAAUGUAUAGUCCCCUCCUGGUAUUCACGCCACAUAUAAGUUAUUUUAUUUUCUUACACUAUUUUCUUAAAAUAUGGGGAUACAUGGCGUUUGCAUUUGAUUGUUUAUUUGAAUCGUUACGGAACUCGAUACAUACUGGCAUUCUUCGCGAUACGAUUACGAGUCGUCGUCGUCACACAUUCGUUUGGUGAGGUUAGAUGUACGCGCACGUGUCACGCAUGCGUCGUAUUCAACCACGUGGUUGGUGCGUAUAAUAUCUACGCAGUAGUAGCUUAAUAAAUAUAUAAUAUAAUAUAUAAGACAUGCUUUAUAUCUAUAUACAGCAUACAAUAAUGCAUCCAUUAAUCCUCUCAUAAAUGGACAUGGGUCGUUGAAUUUGAAAUCACAGAAUGGAUCUCUCUAAUACAAUUUUUUAGAAUUUUUCUUAUUUUUUUUAGAUAUACUAAUAAAAACUACAUUAGCUUUUAAUUAUUUUAUUUUAAUGUAUAAUGUAAUUAUGUACUUAAUUACAAUUUUUAAAUUCCUUUAUUAAUUGUAAAAUAUAAAUAAUAAAUCGAUAUAUAUGUUUAUGGUAAAUGUUUAUGGUAUGUUUAUGGUAUUAAUAUUUUUUAAUCAUAUACAUAAAAAAUAUUUUUAUUUGAUUUUUUUUCAUUUUAGUCAUUCUAUAUUAUAUUUAAAAUAAAAAUAUUUAAUAAACUUAAUGUCAUUACAUAUCAAUAUCAAUUAUCAUAUAUCAAUUAUGCAUAUUUUGUCAAAAACAUAUUUAUUUGUUUCAUAUAAAAAUUAAUCAAAUUCAUCAUGAAAAUGAAAAUAAAUAAUUACCAUCAUUGAAAAAUUUAAUGACUUGCAUUUUGUACUUCAUAGUAUUCUAUGGACGGUUUUACUAUAUUCUAGACAAUGCAAUGUUGUAAAAACAUGUACAAGAUCAUGUUACGUAGUAUAUGACAAACUACACAUAUUGUUCUAAUUAUAGAAAAUAUCAAGAUUACGAGCUAUCAUGUGCAGUACUUUACACGCUAAUGCUUUUCUAAAAUGAUUUAAUCGAAUGAGUUAUGUAAUAUAAAUUUUAAAUGCAUGAACUCAUUUAUGUCAUAAUUUUUUGAAUAAUACAUAAAAAUUCGAUUGUAUUGCAAAAUUAAAAUUUAAAAAUAUUAAUUACGGAAAAAUUAAAUAUUUAAAACGAUAUUAUUUUUCAUGAGUUGAAAAAACUAGAAUGAUUCAACAAAUGUAAUCAAAGUUUUUAAUGUACAGGUGUUAAUAUAUUCGUGCGAUAGAUCGAUUUUAAAGGUCAAAAUAAACACAAAAGUUGAUAACAAAAAUGUCAGUUGAAAUAUACUUAUUAAAUUAUAAAUAAUUCAAUUAUUUUGUAUUAAAUAAAACGAUUCAUAAAUAAAGUAAGAUUCUAUCUUCUAUCGCAACCAUUAUAUUCCAUUUCUGUUGCUUCAUUUAAUGCGAAUUUAAAUUUCUUAUAAUUUAAUAAAUAAACUUCAAUCAAAAUUUUUAUAUUUGUUAUAUAUCCAAAAUGUCAAAAAUAUAUUAACAUCCUAUAUAUAUAAUUAUUUAAUUGUAUUAUGAAAUGUAUGCCUUAAUAACCUGUUUUUUUAUUACUUAAGUCUAUGAUUUAAAAAUUUAUAUCAUCUAUAUAUAUACAUAUAUAUCUAAAUACUUACAUGUAGAUACAUAUAAUUAUUAUUUCAAUUUUAUUUACAAUAAAUAAAAUGAAAUCUUUUUUA